Numida meleagris (helmeted guineafowl) is the source of this 3934-nucleotide long non-coding RNA. RefSeq lists it as uncharacterized. The record is from RefSeq and is a predicted model, not a curated record. The transcript is spliced from 3 exons. NCBI's taxonomy places the organism in Eukaryota, Metazoa, Chordata, Aves, Galliformes, Numididae.
ACCAGAGGUGAAUUGCUGCUCUGUGCUUCUUUGCUGCCUGCCUGGCAGGUUGAGGAAAGUUUUAGAAGACAGGAAUUGUCUCCUUGUUCUUGUUUCUGCCACCAAGAGGACAAUUUCCUCUGAGUGAGCUCUGGUAUGGAAUGCAAUCUCGCUUCCCAUGCAUCUGCACCAUGCCCAUGGAUUAGCAACAAACAGUGCAAUAAAGAAAGCCACAUCAAGAGCGCAGUUUGCUGCAGGUUAUUGCAAGAACAUCAGUGAAAUGUGGAACUAUCCUGCAUGCCCUUCUUUAAUAAACAAUAUUGUAUUAGAUAGUGCUAAUUAUCUAAUUUGCUAAAUUUAUAUAUGCAGACUUCAAAGGGAGUGUUAGUAGAAAGUGUUUGUAUAGGCCCAUUUUGGGGUUAGUUAUGACUGGACAGAGAAAUAUGCUGGAGGUGAAAAAUGUUGAGAGUCUCAGCUCUGAUAAGUAAAGGUUAAUAACUAUACUGAGAGUAAAGAAGAUCUAUCCAUCUGCCACACUGAGGAGAGUUGUCCUUGGACUGCAGCCAGAUACUGACCCUGCUGCUUGCUUUUCUCUCGAUGGGGCAGAGGGUGAAAAUAGGAUAAAACAGCCUGCAGGUUGAGAUAAAUCACAUAGAUACAUGUACUGUUAUAAAUCAUAUAUAAACAUAUACUGUUACAGGUGAAACAGACGUGAUCCAGGGAAAAAUAAUUUAACUUCUAGUUAAAAUAGAUGUAGAUGCUAAGAAACUAAGACAAAAACUAAAGCAUCACCUUCCUCUGCCCACCUUUUCCCAGGCUUAACCUCAUUUCUUCACGGCCGACACACCUCUGCCUUCUCCCGCCCACCUUCCAGCCCCGGAGCAGCGCAUGGAGGGUUAAGCCUCGUACAUACCUGUAUUUUUCUGCCGCCUGUUCCUCCUCACACGUUUCCUCUUCUCCAGGGCGCGCUCCAUCUCCGCGGCCGUUCCUGUCAGGCGGACCUGCCCGAGGGCGGGCUCCGCCUCCGCGGCCGUUCCUGUCAGGCGGACCUGCUCGAGGGCGGGCUCCGUCUCCGCGGCUGCUUUUUCUUAAGGAAGUAUUAAACUGUUCCCGUCCACUGUACAGAAGGUAUCUAAGUGGUAGCCUUUUUCAAAGUCUGCUCCCAGUACCAUGGACGUUUUCCGUUGUACUUUCUAUGCAAUAUCUGACCGAGAAAAUGCUCUGCAGACUACCACAGAAGCAGAGGAGGGGGAGACACCUCUGUAAGCGGCUUCGCGUGCGGGAGAACAGAUUGACUUCAUCAUAGAUCAGAGAUGAGUAAUGGAUAUUGUGGAAGACGGAAGAGAAGGCACUGCUUGAACACCUGGAUGAAGUUGGAGGGAAGCUCACACUUAGUGGCCGCUCUGAAAGAUUAAGAAAAUUCAGAAGGGAAGAAAGAAAUGGAUGAAUUGGUAUAUGUCAUACAAGGGCAGGUACGGUGCCACCUAGGAAACUGUUGGACAGGAAGAGGCAGUCCAGCAACACUCAUCACCCUUGGUGAUCUGGCAAAGCCCAGGUGUGUGAAUUCAAAGGUCAGAAUACAUACAACAGCUAAUCGCUUAUGUUUGUCUCUGUAAGUGUGUCUAGAUAUCUGAAAAGCUUCCUAUGUGGGGUAAAGUCUCUUAUGUGGGCAUGGAUUAAUGCUAAUUAGACCCUGUGUACAUUAUUGUACUUAAGCAUUUCAGUUAGUCAAGGUUAAACUUGUGCUGCAUGUUACAAAAAGUGAAAUCAUUCACUUGAAGUGGGAUGGAAUAGUGAAUACAGGAUAAUAACCAGAUGCCUCCUUUGCAAAGGCAGAUAAAAUGAAAUGUAAAAUAUGGGCAGCUCUGAUGAGGUGAAUAUACAAGGUUGGUUCUGAAAGUAAUGCCUCCUAUGUUACAGUGUUGGCCCAUGAUGUCAGAGCCACAUGUCACUGGUAUGGCAGCAGAGGUUGAACCUUCCCACCAACAUUCCAUUACAUUUUUCUGCCAUGUGACAGAUGGCAGCAGAGGGGCAAAACAGCAUCUGACACAAAAGCAUGUAUGGAGCAAAGGUGUGGAACUCAUUUAUUCCAUGCUGGAAAAGUGGCAUCCAUUGACAUUCAUCAACACUUUCUGAGCAUUUAUGGUGACCAAACAGCCGAUGUUGCACAGUGAGUGACUAUGUUAAAAGAUAGUGUUUUGUAGCUAAGUUGCUCUACAGAUUAGCGUUAUUGUGCUCUUUGUAUUUGUUGUAGUUUCAAGGGAAAUAAAUAGGAGGCAUUACUUUCACAGUGAACUACACUGUAAUAGCCACCUGCAGUAGAUACUGGUAGGUAAAGUCUCCUUGGAUAUUCAUCACUGCUGUGAUGGAAUAGCAUUGGGGGUUGUUGCAGAGUGAUGUCUUUGCUGCCUGAUGACAAAUUCCUGAGUCUGUGGUAUUUUUUAUGUCCUACAGGGACUAGUGUGUAAUCUCCCCUUCACUUCCUUUACUUCUUUCUCCUCUCUACUCAAAAGCCUGACUCACACCAGGAGGCUUAAAGCCAGAACAGUAGAGUGCUGUAUAUCAAACCAAGGACCUGUCAGACAUACAUCAGUCUUAGUCCUGAAGAACUUACAUCCUAAACAAAAGGAAGAGAAGGCAAACAAAAAUGGAAUGGAGAGGAAGAGAAGAGUAAGAUGGUUAUAGGGACAACUUGCUGAAUGUUCUUUCCUGCAUCUAGCAGUUUGCUACUUACUUGGCUCUGCGCCUUUCUAUCUUUUUGCAGUAAAGAUUUUUGCUAAAAGAAAAGUAUUAACAAUUUCCAGUCACGCAUAAACAGCCCUGAAAACAUGCUGUCCAUUCUCUAGGUAAGGGAGUUCAAAGACUGCAGGAGAUAAUAGAUUUUGAAGGAUGGUUGAUGUAUACAGACCCCAUAAUGCUCUAGGGAAGGAUAGUAGAUAGAGCUUUUCAACUGACCAGAUACAUAGUUCUCAAAUCUUUGCUCAAUUUUUAUUUGUUUUACCCAGGCAAAGCUUCCUUUGAUUUAAGUUGCUUGAGAAAGGAUGUGUCCACAAACAUGUCUAUCUUUAAUCAGUGAGACAUGUUGAUCAUGCAGUUGAAAGCACAUGGUGCCCAUAUUUGCAAUGCAUAGAGCUCAUGAGCUCUACAGACAACAAAGAGAAAAGUAGCUAAAAAUGCCCUUGCAUGGAUCUACCUACUGCACUCAGCCUUGUUUUCAUCUGGUGUUUCAAUCCCUCUGAGAUACUGUUACACGAAUCACCAGGGAAAAUAAUAUCACAGAGAAUCAAAUAGUGGGCUGGGAGCUGAAGGACUGCAGAUAACUGGGUCAGGCAUCACAUGAAGUGAGACUGAUAUGCAAGUCAGGAGCAAUGUCACUAAGAGUCAAAUGUUGUGCAGGUGUAAAACUGAUGUCAAUGAAAGAAAAUUGGGCACUGAGUACAAAAGGCUGAGUCUUGGCACAAACAACAUCAACAGGAGUUCUAGCUUCAGUGAAACCAGAACUGAAUUUCACUCCUGGAGGGCAGCAAACACUCUCACUAAAUUCUGUCUGAAAAACAAAACAAAAAACAGCUGAAGAAAUUAUGACUGGUUUCCUGCAUUUGAUGGGACCAUGUAUCUGAUACCCCCAACGCAUGCAUGUCUCCCCCAGCAGUGAAUCAUCAAGAGAAAAAGUUACAGCAACAAUGACUACUGCUACCUCAGAGCAUUGUUCUGAACCAUAACAUUUAACGACAUGCCACAUUUUUUUUAUCAGGGCCGUAUUCUGGGUGCAGUGUGGCAUGUGAGAGGUGCAUAUAAGAAUGAAGCCAAACACCUAUUUCCUCUCAGUAUUUAUUUGCAUUUGCUUUGGUCAUAACUCCAGGCCCCUUCUAAAGCCCCCACCCCACCUCUGCAGCCCACUUAUCACGGGGUCCUUUUUGGCUACAAAACCCAACCAGCAUUCAUUAGUGCAGUC